UACGGAGGGGGCGAGCGUUAUUCGGAAUUAUUGGGCGUAAAGGGCGCGUAGGCGGCUUGACAAGUCAAAGGUGAAAUCCCUCGGCUCAACUGAGGAACUGCCUUUGAAACUGUCUGGCUUGAGGCCGGGAGGGGGUAGCGGAAUUCCCAGUGUAGCGGUGAAAUGCGUAGAUACUGGGAGGAACACCAGUGGCGAAGGCGGCUACCUGGACCGAUUACUGACGCUGAGGCGCGAAAGCUAGGGGAGCAAACGGG
RNAcentral lists this ribosomal RNA (254 nucleotides) under uncultured bacterium. Its description in RNAcentral is "partial 16S ribosomal RNA". It matches the Rfam family "Bacterial small subunit ribosomal RNA", at positions 524 to 776 of the family's 1533-position model. The record is from RNAcentral.